UACGAAAGGUGCGAGCGUUAAUCGGAAUUACUGGGCGUAAAGGGCGCGUAGGCGGCGCGUUGAGUCGGAUGUGAAAGCCCCGGGCUUAACCUGGGAAUGGCAUCCGAUACUGGCGUGCUAGAGUGCAGUAGAGGGAGGUGGAAUUCCAGGUGUAGCGGUGAAAUGCGUAGAGAUCUGGAGGAACACCAGUGGCGAAGGCGGCCUCCUGGACUGACACUGACGCUGAGGCGCGAAAGCGUGGGUAGCAAACAGG
RNAcentral lists this unclassified non-coding RNA (253 nucleotides) under uncultured Alcanivoracaceae bacterium. RNAcentral describes it as "contains 16S-23S intergenic spacer region". It matches the Rfam family "Bacterial small subunit ribosomal RNA", at positions 524 to 776 of the family's 1533-position model. The record is from RNAcentral. Lineage: Bacteria; Pseudomonadati; Pseudomonadota; Gammaproteobacteria; Oceanospirillales; Alcanivoracaceae.